This 405-nucleotide ribosomal RNA is filed under the name uncultured bacterium. RNAcentral describes it as "bacterial SSU rRNA". It matches the Rfam family "Bacterial small subunit ribosomal RNA", at positions 28 to 433 of the family's 1533-position model. The record is from RNAcentral.
GACGAACGCUGGCGGCGUGCUUAACACAUGCAAGUCGAACGAUGAACCGGAGCUUGCUCCGGGGAUUAGUGGCGAACGGUGAGUAACACGUGGGCAACCUGCCCCAGACACCGGGAUAACCUUCCGAAAGGAUGGCUAAUACCGGAUACGACCACUUCGGGCAUCCGACGGUGGUGGAAAGGAUUCUGGUCUGGGAUGGGCCCGCGGCCUAUCAGCUUGUUGGUGGGGUAAUGGCCUACCAAGGCGACGACGGGUAGCCGGCCUGAGAGGGCGACCGGCCACACUGGGACUGAGACACGGCCCAGACUCCUACGGGAGGCAGCAGUGGGGAAUAUUGCGCAAUGGGCGAAAGCCUGACGCAGCGACGCCGCGUGAGGGACGAAGGGUCUUCGGAUUGUAAACCUC